UACACUCCUGCGGGAGGCAGCAGUGGGGAAUUUUGGACAAUGGGCGAAAGCCUGAUCCAGCAAUGCCGCGUGAGUGAAGAAGGCCUUCGGGUUGUAAAGCUCUUUUGUCAGGGAAGAAACGGUGAGAGCUAAUAUCUCUUGCUAAUGACGGUACCUGAAGAAUAAGCACCGGCUAACUACGUGCCAGCAGCCGCGGUAAUACGUAGGGUGCAAGCGUUAAUCGGAAUUACUGGGCGUAAAGCGUGCGCAGGCGGUUUUGUAAGUCUGAUGUGAAAUCCCCGGGCUCAACCUGGGAAUUGCAAUGGAGACUGCAAGGCUAGAAUCUGGCAGAGGGGGGUAGAAUUCCACGUGUAGCAGUGAAAUGCGUAGAUAUGUGGAGGAACACCGAUGGCGAAGGCAGCCCCCUGGGUCAAGAUUGACGCUCAUGCACGAAAGCGUGGGGAGCAAACAGGAUUAGAAACCCUUGUAGUCCCAUGA
This 477-nucleotide ribosomal RNA is filed under the name uncultured organism. RNAcentral describes it as "partial 16S ribosomal RNA". It matches the Rfam family "Bacterial small subunit ribosomal RNA", at positions 332 to 800 of the family's 1533-position model. The record is from RNAcentral.